UAGCGGAGGAAAAGAAACCAACAGGGAUUGCCUUAGUAGCGGCGAGUGAAGCGGCAAAAGCUCAAAUUUGAAAUCUGGCACUUUCAGUGUCCGAGUUGUAAUUUGAAGAAGGUAUCUUUGGGUCUGGCUCUUGUCUAUGUUUCUUGGAACAGAACGUCACAGAGGGUGAGAAUCCCGUGCGAUGAGAUGACCCAGACCUAUGUAAAGUUCCUUCGAAGAGUCGAGUUGUUUGGGAAUGCAGCUCUAAGUGGGUGGUAAAUUCCAUCUAAAGCUAAAUAUUGGCGAGAGACCGAUAGCGAACAAGUACAGUGAUGGAAAGAUGAAAAGAACUUUGAAAAGAGAGUGAAAAAGUACGUGAAAUUGUUGAAAGGGAAGGGCUUGAGAUCAGACUUGGUAUUUUGUAUGUUACUCUUUCGGGGGUGGCCUCUACAGUUUACCGGGCCAGCAUCAGUUUGGGCGGUAGGAGAAUUGCAAAGAAAUGUGGCACUGCUUCGGUAGUGUGUUAUAGUCUUUGUCGAUACUGCCAGCCUAGACUGAGGACUGCGGCUUCGGCCUAGGAUGUUGGCAUAAUGAUCUUAAGUCGCCCGUCUUGA
Molecule: ribosomal RNA, 593 nt
Filed under: Lodderomyces parapsilosis
Lineage: Eukaryota; Fungi; Ascomycota; Pichiomycetes; Serinales; Debaryomycetaceae
Also listed under: 1 other name
Description: eukaryotic LSU rRNA
Rfam family: Eukaryotic large subunit ribosomal RNA
Source: RNAcentral